UGUCCAAAUACACUCAAUUUUAUAAUGCAAAGUUUUGUUGUUACACGAGUCCAUAUAUAUCAUGAUUAUACAAAGCUGGUUUGGUGAGGGGGGAUUAUGCUUCUUUUCUAUUAAACUAUUUAGUGGAGUUUCUAGAAAAUGUAUACGUGAAGUAUGCUUUUCCGUUAAAUAUAUAAUCUGCGAAGUUUGUUUGGCUAAUUUAUAUAUUCAAUGAUUUAUAUGUGGUCACAUAUAAUACCCACAAAUUCAAGACUUCUAAUUCUAGUAUAGUCUCAUAUUAAUUUAGUAUGACUCGAAUCAUUAAUAUAAUAGAGUUAAACAAGUAAGUCCAUGUUCAUACUCGAGGUCUUAGGCUAUGGUUAUUUAUACAAACAAAUAAAUAUAUUGUGCUUGUGACUUUUUAAGGCACUAUCCACGUAUAUCACAAUUUCAAUCUAUAAAUGGUGACAUAAAUAACAUAUUUAAACAAUAAAAAUAAAAAUACAACAUAUAGAGGAGACAAAACAACAUAAUACAAUACAACCAUUUUUAACUGUGU
Molecule: long non-coding RNA, 538 nt
Filed under: Brassica napus (rape)
Lineage: Eukaryota; Viridiplantae; Streptophyta; Magnoliopsida; Brassicales; Brassicaceae
Description: long non-coding RNA (BNAP_LNC004660)
Source: RNAcentral